This 68-nucleotide transfer RNA is filed under the name Salmo salar (Atlantic salmon). It matches the Rfam family "tRNA". From Rfam's summary of the family: Transfer RNA (tRNA) molecules are approximately 80 nucleotides in length. Lineage: Eukaryota; Metazoa; Chordata; Actinopteri; Salmoniformes; Salmonidae. The record is from Rfam by way of RNAcentral.
GACUGUGUUGCUCAGUUGGUAGAGCAUGGUGCUUACAAGGGGUGUGGGUUCGAUUCCCACUGGGGCCA